AGAAGACAUUAUAAAACCUGCACGAAGAACAGAGCAGUCAGGCCAAGUUAAGGCAAAAGUCGAUCCCAAGAAAAGUCGACCUGGACUUAAGGGAAUCGAACUUGCAAUAUAAGGGAAGUCGACCUCAGAAGUCGAUCCCAGAAAAGUCGACUAUCAAGAGACAAAGGUCUCCAGAAAUCGAUCACAGGAAAGUCGACUGUCAGGAAGUCGAUCCCAGUAAAAAUGGAUCCAACUUUGAAAAGUCGAUGACAAGGCGUCAAACUUCACAAAGUCGGACCACAGUCCAAUGGGGAACAACUUCAAAGGGGACCAACUUUCAGAAAAGUCGGACGCCAAGGAAGUCGAACCCAGUGCAGCCUCAGUAGAGCCCGAUAACAAAAGUCGGACUCCAGAAAGCUGCACCUCCAAGGCUAAAGUCGAAGCCUCACGCACGCUGGA
Molecule: long non-coding RNA, 438 nt
Filed under: Zostera marina
Lineage: Eukaryota; Viridiplantae; Streptophyta; Magnoliopsida; Alismatales; Zosteraceae
Description: long non-coding RNA (ZMAR_LNC003698)
Source: RNAcentral